Eimeria mitis is the source of this 76-nucleotide non-coding RNA. NCBI's taxonomy places the organism in Eukaryota, Apicomplexa, Conoidasida, Eucoccidiorida, Eimeriidae. The record is from Rfam.
GGAAAUAUAGUUUUAAAUUGGAUAAAAUAACACCCUGUCGCGGUGAAGAAUGCGGGUUCGAAUCCCGUUAUUUCCG